This 219-nucleotide ribosomal RNA is filed under the name uncultured prokaryote. RNAcentral's name for it is "partial 16S ribosomal RNA". It matches the Rfam family "Bacterial small subunit ribosomal RNA", at positions 525 to 743 of the family's 1533-position model. The record is from RNAcentral.
ACGGGGGGUGCGAGCGUUGUCCGGAAUUACUGGGCGUAAAGCGUGCGCAGGCGGUUCGCUGUGUCCUGUGUGAAAGCCCCGGGCUCAACCUGGGAAUGGCAUGGGAAACUGGCGAGCUGGAGUGCGGCAGAGGGGGGUGGAAUUCCGCGUGUAGCAGUGAAAUGCGUAGAGAUCGGGAGGAACACCAGUGGCGAAGGCGGCUACCUGGACCAGCACUGA